ACGCCGAGGAGUCAUAAAAGAUUCCAAGAGCAAAUAAAAUACACUGUUUUGUCUUAACAUACUCAACUUCUACUCGUUAAAUUAAGAAAAGCACUCAAUGCUGUUUACUUUUCUGAAUCGGCCAUUGCCAUUUUGCAUUUACAGCCAUUAAAGGAUUGCAUAAAACCCCCUAUCAAGCUUCAGAAAAGAAAACUUUGAAAGACAAACCCAUACCGUUGCGGUGCACUGCAGGUGGUUGAAUUGAUGAAAAACAGAGGAUCACAUGCACCGACCCGCCCCGCAACCAGAACACAAAACAGGCACACCUAAAUUUUGUGGCGCCACAAUUAUUAUUCUCAUCCACUGCCCGUUCCACACCUACUUCAAUCCCAAUGAGUCCAUCCUCAUUUAAGUCCGUUAACUACCACUUGUUUAGGCCUCCUUUUACUCUGUCUUUCGGUUCUUUGCUGAGGAAGCUGACGACACCUCUUGCUUGUGUCUAUCCAUCCCGGUUGUAUUCGUCAUCAAGUUCUGGUACAUUAAUGGAGGUAGUCAAAGAAGUUGUCAAGCAAGGUUCUGCGGCUGGUGAUGGUGUAGCUAUUAGAGCUGAUAAGCGAAGUUACAGCUACGUACAACUCAUUUCCUCGGCAUUGAAGAUAUCUAAUAUUUUAAGCAGUAAUGACUUAAAAACUGGCUACAAAGAAAGCAAAUAUGAAGAGUCUUCUCUCUCUGUUGAUGGUGUGGGAGAACUUGGACAUCUUCGUGGAGCUCGAAUAGGAAUUGUGGCCAAACCUUCAGCUGAGUUUGUUGCUGGAAUGCUAGGGAUCUGGUUGAGCGGAGGUGUUGCUGUUCCGCUUGCACUCUCCUACCCUGAGGCUGAGCUGCUACAUGUGAUGAAUGAUUCGGAUGUUUCCAUGGUACUAAGUACUGAGGAUCAUCAUGAGUUUCUGCAAGAAGUUGCAUCAAAAUGUGCUGCUAGAUUUUCUCUUAUUCCACCCCUUCCGAGUGUUUCUUCACAGAAAAAUGCAUCUGAUCAUCCACAACCUGGAGAAAUAGAUGAACAUGGAAUUUUUCAGGGGAAUAUUAAGAGCUCAAGUGAGGAUCCGGCUCUGAUUGUAUACACAAGUGGUACAACAGGUAAACCCAAAGGAGUUGUUCACACGCACAGAGGCAUCACUGCACAGGUACAAACGUUGAAAGAAGCUUGGGGUUAUACAUCGGAUGACCGGUUUUUGCAUUGCCUACCGCUACAUCAUGUUCAUGGGCUUUUUAAUGCUUUACUAGCCCCUCUCUAUGCGGGUUCAACGGUUGAGUUCAUGCCAAAAUUUAGUGUAAGGGGAAUUUGGCAGAGAUGGUGUGAGUCAUAUCCAAUCAAGGGGACUAGGGCCGAUGAUGCCAUAACUGUGUUUACAGGAGUUCCAACUAUGUACACUCGAUUGAUACAAGGUUAUGAAGCGAUGGAUCCAGAGGUACAAGCUGCUUCCGCCUCUGCAGCAAGGCAGUUGCGGCUUAUGAUGUGUGGCUCCUCGGCACUUCCUCAACCUGUCAUGCAACAAUGGCAAACAAUCACCGGACAUCGCCUGUUGGAACGAUAUGGCAUGACUGAAUUUGUCAUGGCAAUAUCAAAUCCUUUAAGAGGUAUGCGGAAGGCUGGCACGGUUGGCAAACCACUUCCUGGUGUGCAGGUCAAGAUUCUACCAGAGGAUAAGAAUGGAGAUGAUAUAGAUGGGGUGGGUGAGCUUUGCGUUAAAAGCCCUUCAUUGUUUAAGGGAUAUUGGAAACUUCCUGAGGUAACUAAGGAAUCAUUUAUUGACGGUGGCUUCUUUAGGACUGGAGAUGCUGGUAAAGUGGAUGAAGAUGGAUACUAUGUCAUUUUGGGGCGUACAAGUGCUGAUAUUAUGAAGGUUGGCGGAUACAAAUUAUCUGCUCUAGAAAUUGAAUCAGUCAUUUUGGAGCAUCCAGCUGUCACAGAAUGUUGUGUGUUGGGCUUACCAGACAAAGAUUACGGAGAAGCUGUCUGUGCAAUUAUUGUGCCUGAUGCAAACACAAAGAAAAUACAGGAGGAAAAUUUGAAACCUGCGGUAACCUUGGAGGAACUCUGCUCUUGGGCUAAAGAAAAACUUGCACCAUACAAGCUACCAACCCGCUUGUUCCUAUGGGAGGCGCUGCCUCGUAAUGCUAUGGGAAAGGUGAAUAAAAAAGAGUUGAAGAAACUGCUGGCAGCCGAGCAGUAAACGAAUAUAGACUGGAGAUCAUAAAUCAUGCAUAUCACAUUCGGUUUUCGGAUUCAGUUAUUUACAAGAAGGAAAUAUCGAUCAAAAGGAGGCCCGUUAGCUACAAGGCUGACUCUAGACGGGCCUUGUUCAGUAGCGGAUGCUUGGUCCAGCUUCCCCCCAUUGUGGGCUUGUACCAGCUUUAUUUUCAAAGGAUUGCUGGGUGCCCUCUCAGGUACACAAAUUUUAAGCAGUGAUCCGACUCUGGUCAGCUCUUGCGUAAGGGCCAGCGUCAUGCUAAAUUUAAGAUCCCAUGGAUCUUGUCGUAGACUUCUCAAUCUAAUUGCUAAAAAUUAUGGCAACGUACUUGUAUUUUUUAAUGUUUUUGUUGUUAGGAUUUUUAGUGAGAAUGAGAUAGAUGCGUAAAGUGAGUCUCACCAUAUUUAAUACUCUCAAAAAAUGUGUUUAUAAUUAUAAAUAUUACGAGACUCAUUUUAUGAAUUUAUAUAUAUCUCUUAUAUUCUAGAUCAAAACUCAAUGAAACUCGAAUCCAUGACUAAUUAUUUUCUCAUUCUCAAGCAGUAAUUAUUAAUACAACGUUGAAAGAAUAAUAAUUUGAAAUGGCUUAAUGUCAUUCAAGUUAACAAAAUUCUCUCUCCUUUUUAUUUA
RNA transcript from Carya illinoinensis, 2861 nucleotides. It is a transcript of the gene named probable CoA ligase CCL8, with no coding region annotated. The record is from RefSeq and is a predicted model, not a curated record. Lineage: Eukaryota; Viridiplantae; Streptophyta; Magnoliopsida; Fagales; Juglandaceae. The transcript has 18 exons.